GGGAAUAUUGGACAAUGGGCGCAAGCCUGAUCCAGCAAUGCCGCGUGGGUGAAGAAGGUUUUCGGAUUGUAAAGCCCUUUCGGCGGGGACGACGAUGACGGUACCCGCAGAAGAAGCUCCGGCUAACUUCGUGCCAGCAGCCGCGGUAAUACGAAGGGGGCUAGCGUUGCUCGGAAUGACUGGGCGUAAAGGGCGCGUAAGCGGUUUGCACAGUCAGAUGUGAAAUUCCUGGGCUUAACCUGGGGGCUGCAUUUGAUACGUGUAGGCUUGAGUGGGGAAGAGGGUCGUGGAAUUCCCAGUGUAGAGGUGAAAUUCGUAGAUAUUGGGAAGAACACCGGUGGCGAAGGCGACACACUGGCUCACUACUGACGCUGAGGCGCGAAAGCGUGGGGAGCAAA
Molecule: ribosomal RNA, 398 nt
Filed under: uncultured bacterium
Lineage: Bacteria
Description: bacterial SSU rRNA
Rfam family: Bacterial small subunit ribosomal RNA
Source: RNAcentral